UUUUUUUAAAAAAAAAAGUCUGUGUUGGUAAACCAGCUUCACUUCCUCAUUGUUUUGAAAUAAGGCCAAUGCAUCAUUUCCCUUUUCUUUCCCUGGGGGUUGUAUGGUGCAUAACAGCCCUUGUCUGGCUAGGAGUGUAGCAAUGGGACCCCGUUUCUGCGGCAGGGCCUUCAUGAAACAAAUGAGAUGGCGUCGAAGUUACUUUUCUUGUUGUUGAGACAAAAUACCUGACCCUCAAAGUUAAGGGAGGAAAGGUGUAUUUGCUCAUAGUUUGUAGAGGUUUUAGACCAUAGUCGGCUGGCUCCAAGGCAGGGUGGCACAUGGCGGAGGGGCCUCGCAGAGCGGGAGCAGUUCCUGGCGAGCAGCAGAAAGCAAAGCAAGCAAAGGACAAUCACAGCUCUUUCUACCCCUUCUGUCUUGUCCAGGCCUUCAGGGCGGGCAGCACUCACACCCUAACCCUACUGCCCUUGAGCCUAGCACUGCACCAUGAGUCAGUCCCAGUGUCACACACCCUAGACGCAGCCACCUCUGGAAGGGCCCCACCUGUGGCCACACGAGGCUUUGGGGCACAUCUGGACACAGCCACAACAGAGAAAACCAGAAAAGAGACUGUCUGCCUGGCUCAAGCAUAUCAACGAUUAAGUACAAGCCACCAACAUCCUUCUGCUUUUUGAUGCUUAGAAGAGUUUUUUAAGGAUUGGAAUGAAUAUAUCCAGUGUUUCCCACCAGAAGCACACACAGCUGAGCAAACGUGCUGAACACCAGCAUGAGCUCUAGGAGUACUGUUACACACUUGACACACACCCUUCACGUAAGUGCUGCUGUGUCAAGUGGUAUGAUCCCCACCCAGCACAGGCACGGGUUCAGCAUGGCUAAGGGACCCGCUGGGGCUUCCACAGAGGCAGCUGUUGGCCUUGAGAUCCUCGUAACUCAUUCUGGUACCUUGUACUAGAGUGCUGGGAUUACAGGCAUGCAGCACCCUGCCUGGUUACAACGUGUUUAUUAAUCUUCCAUUUCCUGUCAGAAUCUUUAUCAACCACAACUUGUUUAGAAAUAUGGAGUCCAGGGCCAGGGAUGUAGCUCAGUGGCACCGCACCUGCCUGGCAAACACAAGGUCCUGAGUUUGAUCCCCGGUACCAAAUAAAUAAAAAUAAAUACAAAGUCCACCAAAAAAUGUAUACACACUUCAGGAAAAGGAAAACUAUGAAGUUUUUUCAGCAGAUGGUGUUACCCUCGUGUGAGGGACCCUAGAGGAUGCCGUGUAUCGCAGGAAACCCACUGCACUGCCGGCCCUUAGGGAAGAAAGUGAAAAUGCACGCACACACGGCGAUCUCAGUGAGCGAGGUCCCCGAGCGGCAGUUCAGGGCACUGAGCGUCUGGGGGCUCACGGCCCCCUCUGAGCACCUCCUGUCACUGUGGAGGCCAAAGGUGACUUGUACUCAUCUCACCAUGUCUGAAUAAAUUUGGCGUUAAAAUACUGA
Heterocephalus glaber (naked mole-rat) is the source of this 1481-nucleotide long non-coding RNA. RefSeq lists it as uncharacterized. The record is from RefSeq and is a predicted model, not a curated record. Lineage: Eukaryota; Metazoa; Chordata; Mammalia; Rodentia; Bathyergidae.